AGGCUGCAGGCGUUCUCCUCUCCCCCUACUCCUCUUACAAAGGACUUGGUGGGUGGGUGGGGAAUAAGUGAGAGGACAUCUCAAUGCCAUGAAAACUGCCUUCCCCUGGAAGACGAACAGCCUUCUCCCCAUGUCCUGAGUUGAAGCAGAAGCCCCUCCCAGGUGGAAUCCAUUUGACCUCCAUAAAUCCAGACUUCAGGAGGAACCUUUGAAGGAUUGAUCACCAGAUGUGAUAAGCUGCUGGCUGCUCAGACGCAAGCGUGUGGUUCCUCAGAGCCAACUUCAAAGGGCCCAAGCCACCCAGCAUUGGGAGAUGAAAUGUCACAUUGGAGGAUAUAUUUUACCCUCCCACCCUUGGAAACUGGUCCUGGAUAGAAAACUGCUCUUCUAGGUCCUCAGAGCAGCUGGCAGAAGAUUCAGCAGUUAUGGCUGCCAGAGGCAACUGCAGGAAUCCUUUGACUGGCAGUUAUAGUAGGGAUAAAAUAGCAGGAGAGGUGUUAAUCUCCAGCACAUUUCAUAAGUUGGAAACCUGGCAGGGAGCCGAACAAACUGACUCCUUAGAACUAGCUGAGGCACAGGUCUUCAAGGCGUCUGUGACAGGCUGGAGAACAAUAGCCUUCAAAACCGGCAGCCCCAAGUGAAUGUUCAGGCAAGGUGUGGUAAGUGAAUGAAUCACCCCAGCCUCUUGUCGGAAGAAAACUCUCGCCAAAUAAUUCAAAACCCAAGGAACUGUGUUUGUGUGAAGCCCUCUAUUGGCUGGGAGGACUCCAAUCAAGGAAGAUAAUUUUUGAGGACUCUGAAACCUCCAAAUCCUGAAAGUUCAUGAACUUGAAACCAGGAACGGAGAAUUGGAAGCCCAAGACAUAUGAGGAUACCAAGUCACAUGAAAUGUGUUCAGAUUUUCAGACUGGGAGAAUUAUUUCCCAAUAUAUUGAAAAAAGAAAAUACGUUGGCACAGCGAUGGAACCAUUGUUAGUAACUUCGGAGAAACUAUGGAGAAUGGGGGCAAUAUUUCCAAAGUAUAAUGUUCCAUAUUUACUAUAUACCAGGUGCUGGGGAUGUAUUCAUGAAAUAAAAACAGAGAUAGCUAA
This is a non-coding RNA of Chlorocebus sabaeus (green monkey), 1091 nucleotides long. NCBI's taxonomy places the organism in Eukaryota, Metazoa, Chordata, Mammalia, Primates, Cercopithecidae. The record is from RefSeq and is a predicted model, not a curated record.